Molecule: ribosomal RNA, 253 nt
Filed under: uncultured bacterium
Lineage: Bacteria
Description: partial 16S ribosomal RNA
Rfam family: Bacterial small subunit ribosomal RNA
Source: RNAcentral
UACGUAGGGUGCGAGCGUUGUCCGGAAUUAUUGGGCGUAAAGAGCUUGUAGGCGGUCUGUCGCGUCUGCUGUGAAAAUCCGGGGCUCAACCCCGGACUUGCAGUGGGUACGGGCAGACUAGAGUGUGGUAGGGGAGACUGGAAUUCCUGGUGUAGCGGUGAAAUGCGUAGAUAUCGGGAGGAACACCAGUGGCGAAGGCGACUUCCUGGCCUGUUCUUGACGCUGAGACGCGAAAGCGUGGGGAGCAAACAGG